AUAUAUGUUAUCGUACUGCCAACAAUCAAGUUUAUUUCUAACUGGAACUCCGCAGAUACACUAUCGUUUCAAUCAGAGCUCAAACUGUUUAUUCAACGGUACAAUAGUAUUUUUCUUAAAAUAAAACUUGUUUAAAAAUGCACAGAUUAAUAAUAGCUCUAGUAUUUCUUGUAAGUUUUUCCUUCGUAGCAGCAGUGCCUUUAAAUGGACUGAACAUCCCGUCAGAGUGCAAUGACAACGCUUCCUUCGCCGACUGUGAACUCAUAGUGCGCAGCAAGUUCUGCCAACACCGUUACUAUUCUACGUUUUGUUGUAAGUCAUGCAUGAACGCUGGCCAUAUUGAUCCGACAUCAAUAUUUGAAGAAAGGGUGGAGGACAGAGAUGUUUCAGGACUGAACAUCCCGUCAGAGUGCAAUGACAACGCUUCCUUCGCCGACUGUGAACUCAUAGUGCGCAGCAAGUUCUGCCAACACCGUUUCUAUUCUACAUUUUGUUGUAAGUCAUGCAUGAACGCUGGCCGAAAUUUGAAGAAAGGGACAGAGAUCACUGGAAGUAACUUAGUUCCUGCGAAUGACACUACACUAAUAUAAAUUAAACCUUAUAUUAAUUAACUUAUGAGAAACAACUUAAUACAGCAUAAGAAUGUACUUUGAUUCACUUUUUGAUCUUUUUAGAUUAUCUUUAUUAGAUAUAUUAUCAAUUUGAUCUAUGUCAUGUUAUUCACUAAAUUAUAAUAAUGUUAAAUAACAAUAUGUAUAUAUUAGGUUAGAUUUAAGACUCACUACUACACGGUCACAUUAUCUCUGGACCUCGCUGGAACGUGAAGCUCCAUCCCGUACCUCUUUCACCCCUGUUGCGUCAGUACGGUUUGCAGUUUCAUGACCGUUAGGUGUACCUAUGUCGUGAUAUGUUCGUGCUAUAACUGCUUUGCUUUUGUUGUUAAUAGUUCUGUAGUCUGUUAAUUUAUGUAAAAAAAUAUUUUUAUACUUAAUCCAGAUUCAUUCAUUGAUUUCCCAUAAUAAUAAUUAUCAGCACACAACACACAUUAACAUCAAUCUAUAAUACUGACAAAAUAAAUAUUUUUUUAAUAAUUCGUAAUAACAAUAUCCUAGUGAUGCUUGUUUUGCACACCGCGACCGUAACAAACCAACGAUGUGACGUCAUGCAACAGGUACAGAGAUAUCCGGUAACCGGGUAGCAAUCCAUUGUCAUUCUGUCAAUUAUAUUAUUCUCAUAAUUAUAUUUUACUGAAAUAAAACAAAAUAAUGCUGUAACAUAAA
Long non-coding RNA from Leptidea sinapis, 1280 nucleotides. RefSeq lists it as uncharacterized. NCBI's taxonomy places the organism in Eukaryota, Metazoa, Arthropoda, Insecta, Lepidoptera, Pieridae. The record is from RefSeq and is a predicted model, not a curated record. The transcript is spliced from 4 exons.